GCCGAGGUGGUGUAGCCAGGUCAGCAUAGCGGCCUGUCGAGCCGCCGACCCGGGUUCAAAUCCCGGCCUCGGCGCCA
Molecule: transfer RNA, 77 nt
Filed under: marine sediment metagenome
Rfam family: tRNA
About the family: Transfer RNA (tRNA) molecules are approximately 80 nucleotides in length.
Source: RNAcentral